GGGCGUGUAGCUCAGUUGGUUAGAGCAUUCCUCUGAUAAGGGAAAGGUCGUAGGUUCGACUCCUACCACGCCCA
This 74-nucleotide transfer RNA is filed under the name Candidatus Nealsonbacteria bacterium CG_4_10_14_0_2_um_filter_39_15. Its description in RNAcentral is "tRNA-Ile". It matches the Rfam family "tRNA". Rfam says of the family: Transfer RNA (tRNA) molecules are approximately 80 nucleotides in length. Their secondary structure includes four short double-helical elements and three loops (D, anti-codon, and T loops). The record is from RNAcentral. RNAcentral also lists the same sequence under 1 other name. Lineage: Bacteria; Candidatus Nealsoniibacteriota.